RNAcentral lists this unclassified non-coding RNA (470 nucleotides) under uncultured Archaeospora. RNAcentral describes it as "SSU rRNA". It matches the Rfam family "Eukaryotic small subunit ribosomal RNA", at positions 569 to 1041 of the family's 1831-position model. The record is from RNAcentral. Lineage: Eukaryota; Fungi; Glomeromycota; Glomeromycetes; Archaeosporales; Archaeosporaceae.
AGCAGCCGCGGUAAUUCCAGCUCCAAUAGCGUAUAUUAAAGUUGUUGCAGUUAAAAAGCUCGUAGUUGAACUUCGGGGUUUACUCAUUGGUCAGGCUUAAUUGUCUGUACUGGUGAGAUGAAUCUCUACCUUCUGAGGAACUUUCAUGCCAUUUAUUUGGUGUGGUUGGAAAUCAGGACUGUUACUUUGAAAAAUUAGAGUGUUUAAAGCAGGCUAACGUCUGAAUACAUUAGCAUGGAAUAAUGAAAUAGGACGGAUUGAUUCUAUUUCGUUGGUUUCUAGGGUCACCGUAAUGAUUAAUAGGGAUAGUUGGGGGCAUUAGUAUUCAAUUGUCAGAGGUGAAAUUCUUGGAUUUAUUGAAGACUAACUACUGCGAAAGCAUUUGCCAAGGAUGUUUUCAUUAAUCAAGAACGAAAGUUAGGGGGAUCGAAGACGAUCAGAUACCGUCGUAGUCUUAACCAUAAACUAUG